This 262-nucleotide long non-coding RNA is filed under the name Eurytemora carolleeae. RNAcentral's name for it is "uncharacterized LOC111698670". Lineage: Eukaryota; Metazoa; Arthropoda; Copepoda; Calanoida; Temoridae. The record is from RNAcentral.
AAACAAUCUGGUUCUAUUAAGUUUAAAUGUAUCUAUGUUCAUCAGCUCUCGGUAGAUGUUGUCCGAGAUCCUCUAGAGUGGGAGAGGUCAGAUGGGUUGACCUUCUCCUUCCGGUGCUUGUCGUAGAGUGUUGAAGACCUGGGGUUCUUUCCAUCAUCAAGAAUUAGAUAACGAUACGAGUUACGAAGCAUAAUAAUAUUCUUUACAAAAUUAUGAUAUAUUAAACAUCAAUUAUGUACAAAAUAAAACGAGCACUAUUUAA